CCUACGGGUGACAGCAGUGAGGAAUAUUGGUCAAUGGGCGCAAGCCUGAACCAGCCAAGUAGCGUGAAGGAUGACGGCCCUACGGGUUGUAAACUGCUUUUAUAAAGGAAGAAAGUGAGGCACGUGUACGGCUUUGUAUGUAACGUAUGAAUAAGGAUCGGCUAACGCCGUGCCAGCAGCCGCGGUAAUACGGAGGGUCCGAGCGUUAUCCGGAUUUAUUGGGUUUAAAGGGAGCGUAGGAGGUAUGUUAAGGCCGCUGUGAAAGUUCGCGGCUCCACCGGAACAUUGCACGUGUUACUGGCAGUCUUGCGUUCGUUUCAGGCAGGCUGACUUCGUCGUGUAGCGGU
RNAcentral lists this ribosomal RNA (347 nucleotides) under uncultured bacterium. RNAcentral describes it as "partial 16S ribosomal RNA". It matches the Rfam family "Bacterial small subunit ribosomal RNA", at positions 338 to 682 of the family's 1533-position model. The record is from RNAcentral.